This 493-nucleotide ribosomal RNA is filed under the name uncultured bacterium. RNAcentral's name for it is "bacterial SSU rRNA". It matches the Rfam family "Bacterial small subunit ribosomal RNA", at positions 15 to 507 of the family's 1533-position model. The record is from RNAcentral.
GAUCAUGGCUCAGAUUGAACGCUGGCGGAAUGCUUUACACAUGCAAGUCGAACGGUAGACGGGGGCAACCCUCGAGAGUGGCGAACGGGUGAGUAAUAUAUCGGAACGUGCCCAGUCGUGGGGGAUAACGUAGCGAAAGUUACGCUAAUACCGCAUACGAUCUACGGAUGAAAGCGGGGGAUCGCAAGACCUCGCGCGAUUGGAGCGGCCGAUAUCAGAUUAGGUAGUUGGUGAGGUAAAGGCUCACCAAGCCAACGAUCUGUAGCUGGUCUGAGAGGACGACCAGCCACACUGGAACUGAGACACGGUCCAGACUCCUACGGGAGGCAGCAGUGGGGAAUUUUGGACAAUGGACGCAAGUCUGAUCCAGCCAUUCCGCGUGCAGGACGAAGGCCUUCGGGUUGUAAACUGCUUUUGUACAGAACGAAAAGGUCUCUAUUAAUACUAGGGGCUCAUGACGGUACUGUAAGAAUAAGCACCGGCUAACUACGUG